Myiozetetes cayanensis is the source of this 1020-nucleotide long non-coding RNA. RefSeq lists it as uncharacterized. The record is from RefSeq and is a predicted model, not a curated record. The transcript is spliced from 2 exons. Lineage: Eukaryota; Metazoa; Chordata; Aves; Passeriformes; Tyrannidae.
GUUUUUCCCAUGCAUGUUCCUGGGCUGUGUUACCGGCGUCCGUGGUCUGGGGGUUUCUCUGUGGGCCGGGGUCUCUGUGAUGAAGAUUUUUUUGUCUUCCUCGAUGUCCGCAGGAUGAACCCGGCUUGGAGCAUGCGCCUUUAAUGAUGGAGUUGCCUCUCCGGAUGUGUGCUGAGCUCUGGCUUCAGGGGACUGUCAGGCCUUGGUGGCGGUGCAUUCAUGUUCUUCUCACUGGGAAACUGGAAAUAGUUAUUAAUGACAUUGCAGAAAUGUUUUCUGAAACCUGUCCCCUUCUUUCUGCCUUUUGCUGAUAGAUCUUCUCCUUCUGCCUUUGAAUUUACAGCCUCCUUGCAGCUCCCAACUGGCAAAACCUGGGGUGACUCAGUGGGGACAGAGGUGACAUUUUUAUCUGAAAACUUGGGGUAAUCUCUAGGGGAUACAGCAGUUGUUUUGGUAGGAGAGUGUGUUUAACCCCAUUGGCCCAAGGCAAUCCAAAGCAAGCCCUGCUUGGCCUCUAAAUCCCAGGGUAAGUUCUCCAAAGCAGCUCCUUGAGGACUAAAGAUACAUUAAAAUGGAACUAAGAGCGCUAAGAAGGUUCCUGUGAAUCCCAGUAUUGCUGUCCUACAAUUUUGAACAGGUUUUGAAGCUGUUAAUGGCAAUAGUGGCUUUCUUCCUUUGGAUGAGUCCCUCGAUAGGAUUUGGGAUUUCUUUGGGUUUUGAGUCCCUCCCAGUGGCUCUGACACCGAUCAGGAGCUGGCAGGACAAACAGACUGAGAACUCCUGGCAGGCACAGGGGUUUUCCCCCAGAGUUGGCUCCAAGUGCUUUCAAAACCACGUUGGUACCCUCUGCUUUAUCCUUGCAGAUAGUAGAAGACAAUUACAUUUGAAAUCUAAGGUGAAUGUUCAUAUUCAAAAACUUAAUGUUAUGGUUACAUUGUAAUCUUGUUUCUUAUGCUGUGAAAACCUCCAAUGAGUCUUUGUAUUUGAAAGGUUUACAUGUAAUAAAAUAGAGCUUUCAUA